GAUGAACGCUGGCGGCGUGCUUAACACAUGCAAGUCGAACGGGAUCCAUCAGGCUUUGCUUGGUGGUGAGAGUGGCGAACGGGUGAGUAAUGCGUGACCGACCUGCCCCAUACACCGGAAUAGCUCCUGGAAACGGGUGGUAAUGCCGGAUGCUCCGACUCCUCGCAUGGGGUGUCGGGAAAGAUUUCAUCGGUAUGGGAUGGGGUCGCGUCCUAUCAGGUAGUCGGCGGGGUAACGGCCCACCGAGCCUACGACGGGUAGCCGGCCUGAGAGGGCGACCGGCCACAUUGGGACUGAGAUACGGCCCAGACUCCUACGGGAGGCAGCAGUGGGGAAUAUUGCACAAUGGGCGCAAGCCUGAUGCAGCGACGCCGCGUGCGGGAUGACGGCCUUCGGGUUGUAAACCGCUUUUGAUCGGGAGCAAGCCUUCGGGUGAGUGUACCUUUCGAAUAAGCACCGGCUAACUACGUGCCAGCAGCCGCGGUAAUACGUAGGGUGCAAGCGUUAUCCGGAAUUAUUGGGCGUAAAGGGCUCGUAGGCGGUUCGUCGCGUCCGGUGUGAAAGUCCAUCGCUUAACGGUGGAUCUGCGCCGGGUACGGGCGGGCUGGAGUGCGGUAGGGGAGACUGGAAUUCCCGGUGUAACGGUGGAAUGUGUAGAUAUCGGGAAGAACACCAAUGGCGAAGGCAGGUCUCUGGGCCGUUACUGACGCUGAGGAGCGAAAGCGUGGGGAGCGAACAGGAUUAGAUACCCUGGUAGUCCACGCCGUAAACGGUGGAUGCUGGAUGUGGGGCCCGUUCCACGGGUUCCGUGUCGGAGCUAACGCGUUAAGCAUCCCGCCUGGGGAGUACGGCCGCAAGGCUAAAACUCAAAGAAAUUGACGGGGGCCCGCACAAGCGGCGGAGCAUGCGGAUUAAUUCGAUGCAACGCGAAGAACCUUACCUGGGCUUGACAUGUUCCCGACAGCCGUAGAGAUAUGGCCUCCCUUCGGGGCGGGUUCACAGGUGGUGCAUGGUCGUCGUCAGCUCGUGUCGUGAGAUGUUGGGUUAAGUCCCGCAACGAGCGCAACCCUCGCCCUGUGUUGCCAGCACGUCAUGGUGGGAACUCACGGGGGACCGCCGGGGUCAACUCGGAGGAAGGUGGGGAUGACGUCAGAUCAUCAUGCCCCUUACGUCCAGGGCUUCACGCAUGCUACAAUGGCCGGUACAACGGGAUGCGACACGGCGACGUGGAGCGGAUCCCUGAAAACCGGUCUCAGUUCGGAUUGGAGUCUGCAACCCGACUCCAUGAAGGCGGAGUCGCUAGUAAUCGCGGAUCAGCAACGCCGCGGUGAAUGCGUUCCCGGGCCU
This 1347-nucleotide ribosomal RNA is filed under the name uncultured bacterium. Its description in RNAcentral is "bacterial SSU rRNA". It matches the Rfam family "Bacterial small subunit ribosomal RNA", at positions 28 to 1381 of the family's 1533-position model. The record is from RNAcentral.